Molecule: long non-coding RNA, 2723 nt
Filed under: Manihot esculenta (cassava)
Lineage: Eukaryota; Viridiplantae; Streptophyta; Magnoliopsida; Malpighiales; Euphorbiaceae
Description: long non-coding RNA (MESC_LNC007010)
Source: RNAcentral
ACAGCUAGUGCGGAUGGUCUGCACCAACGAAUGUUUUGAAAGGCGCAUAGCGUAAGCGAAUGAGACUCUGACCAACAGACCCCCUGGAUCCAACACAAUCCAGAAUCCAGAGGAGGCCACCAGGUGUAGCGGCGAUUGAGAGGAGGAGAGACAAGGAGGCAGAGAUGCUGGAAAACCCUGCACCUGCAGCUCAGCCUGAUUCCACCACCAUCGUCAAACGCUAUCCUCCUCCCAAUCAAAGGCAAGCUUUCUUUUCUUUUACCUUUGCUUAUUGGUAUUUGUUACAUGAACCUAAGAUGAGGCAUAAGGUGAUGCUGUUUCAAUAAUUGCAGGAAUCGUUCUAUUAGCAGGCGCAAAUCAGGUCUGCUGCUUCUUUUUCAAAUUUGCUAUUUUCUUUUAAUAUCUUUACUGAGAUUGUCUAGGUUAGAGUUUUGCUAGGAAAUAUUGUUGAAAUGUUUUUAUGAUUUUGCUAAUUAGGGAACUUUGUCAAAGUAAUUCAGUAUAAAUGCAGCUCUUUCAUAGCUUAAUUCCAGACACGACACUUGUUUAUUGGUCAUCAUGUUUAUAGGGUCCUCCCCCCUUCUCUCUCUCUCUUUUUAACAUAAGGCUCAUACCAACUACAAAUUUUUUCCUUUAUGGUACUUUAUUCAGUUCAAUUGGAAGAUCUUGGUCAGCUUGAAUCUCUUUGUUUCCCAAUGCAUUCGGUGUUUUCACUUUUCUCUGUUUCUCAUCGUGACAAUGAUUAAGGAGGGACUGGAGCUCAAUAAUGAAUGAGUUUCUUAUUCUCAAUUGACUUGGAUGAGAUUUUACUCGUUAAUCAUCCCAUCUAGCAAUUUGUCUCAAAGUUGUUGGACGGCUGAAUCAAAUGAAAGAUCUUCCAACUAAAAGGAAACAUUAGCUCUUCUUAUAAAGACUAUAUCUCUAAAGACUUCUAGAACCAGUAGUACCCAAUUAGUGACAAUGGCACUGUUCUAAACAAUUUGGUUUUGAUUUUAACAAUAACAUCUAUUAUUUGAGUUCCUCAUUGAAGUGCUGCUUUUUAUCCAAGCACAAUGGAAGAAAGGACCUUACAAAUAAUUUGAGACCCACAAGAUAGGUUAAUAUGAUUUUAGAAGAACAAUGCUGAAUUUAUGUACUAAUGCUUUAGUUAGAAAGUAAUUAUUUUAUGUCUAAAAGUUAUGAGUGCAUUGGCAUUGCAUAACUGUUCAUAAGACUUAUGGUUAAAAACAUUUAUGCCACAAGCAAUUGCUCCCCUUGUCCCAAAUAUAGGCAUAUUUUCCAUUUUCAUUUGUCCCAAAUUGUUGGCUACUUCCCUUUUUCAGAUGGUAAUUUAUUUAUUAACAUCCUAAUAUAACAUGUUUAAUAUGCAUCAAAAAAGUAAAUUUUUUAGUUCUAAUAAUAAUUUAGUAAUGGAAGUGUUUUUUAAAAAAAAUGGUAAUGGAGCAAUACGAGUGGAGAGAAUAUUACAAAAAAGAUGAUAGAAAUUUGUUGCUUUAACUAUUAACUGCAUUUUCUUUAUCCAUGUGAAAGUAACUGUAGGCCUAUCUUUGUGAGAAGAAUUGAGAAGGAUUCUUUGGAGUGAUCGUGAAGAUUUGUGAAAAGUAUCCACAUAGCGGAAUAGCGACAAUGAUCUUUAUUGUUGACCCCAACUAGUUUAGGGUUAAGGCUUGAGUAUCUUAAUGAUGACUUGAUUAGUGGUGUGACUUGUCUUUUCUUUUUUAUCUGAAAGUGUGUGACUUGUCUUAGCACUUGGGUAGUGUACAAAUAAAUAUUUGGGAAAAAAAAAGUGUAUUUGACUUUUCUUGGUUGAGAACUUUGAGAUUACUGUUGUAGAUUUGGGUUUUACCCUACAUGGGAAUGUGAUAGAUUUUUGGAGGAACUCCUUUGUACAGUGGAAAAUCAUUAUUUUUCGAUAUGUCUUUGUGAUUUAACAAAGACAAUUGAACAAUUUGUAUGAAAAACAUUAUACUUUAAAAUUUUGGAUGCUCAUGUUAUUUUAUUUGCAAAUGUUUAUUAAGACAAAGAAAAUGAAAUGUCAAUUUGGUGGUCAUACUUGUCUUAUCAUACAUUUGGGUCAUGUUUCUUUGCUUCUCCCUUUCUUCUCCUACUUUGUUGUCAAAGAACUAGUUUGCUCUAUACUUGGUGGACCUAGAACAGAGCUUAUCUUCUGUUGAGAAGAGAAAUUUUUAGGGAGAGGAAGAAGGAUCUCCAUUUGAUUUCUCCAUGACAGUAGGUUUACAUUAGGGAUUGAAUUUGAGUCAUACAUGUUUCUUGUUUGCCUUAGUUAUGGAUGAGUGCUAGCCACUCGUAUGCAAGAUUUCUAUAAUCUAUGUUAUCUGCAGAUGAUAUUGUCUUAGUAAAUAAAUUGGUGAAUGUGAAGGAUGUUUCAUAUGAGUGCUAGCCACUCAUAUCCAAGAUGAUGUUCUAUAAUCUAUGUUAUUUGCAGAUGAUGUUAUCUUAGUAAAUAAACUAGUAAAGUAGUUAAUCAAAAGCCAGAAUGUGAAGGACAUUGGAGGAUUAAGGGUUUAGGCUAAGUAGAAAUAAUACAAAAUGUAUUUAUUAUGAAUUUAGCUCUCAUAAAAAAAGGUUCAAUUGGAUAUAGCUUUGGUGCAUAAUUGCAACCAAUUUAAAUAUUUAGGCUCUAUUAUCCAAAAGAACAGAGCAAUAGAUGAGGAUAUAAGUGUAAUACACAGGAUAAAAAUAGGAUGGAUGAAAUAAAGAAG